RNAcentral lists this ribosomal RNA (120 nucleotides) under Sinocyclocheilus anshuiensis. The record is from RNAcentral. Lineage: Eukaryota; Metazoa; Chordata; Actinopteri; Cypriniformes; Cyprinidae.
GCUUACGGCCAUACCACCCUGUCUGCACCCGAUCUCGUUCUGAUCUUGGAAGCUAAGCAGGGUUGGGCCUGGUUAGUACUUGGAAGGUAGACUGCCUGGGAAUACUAGGUGCUGUAAGCU